UACGUAGGGUGCAAGCGUUAAGCGGAAUUACUGGGCGUAAAGCGUGCGCAGGCGGUUUUGUAAGUCUGUCGUGAAAUCCCCGGGCUUAACCUGGGAAUUGCGAUGGAGACUGCAAGGCUAGAAUCUGGCAGAGGGGGGUAGAAUUCCACGUGUAGCAGUGAAAUGCGUAGAGAUGUGGAGGAACACCGAUGGCGAAGGCAGCCCCCUGGGUCAAGAUUGACGCUCAUGCACGAAAGCGUGGGGAGCAAACAGG
This 253-nucleotide ribosomal RNA is filed under the name uncultured bacterium. RNAcentral describes it as "partial 16S ribosomal RNA". It matches the Rfam family "Bacterial small subunit ribosomal RNA", at positions 524 to 776 of the family's 1533-position model. The record is from RNAcentral.